CUAGAAGUUGGCUGAACGCAUCGAAGAAUAGGAAAAGAGAAAGGAAUAACAACAGAAAACGAGAAAAGCCAACAUUAAGAAAAAGAAAACUGAGAAGAAAGAACAUAAACUGAAUGAACGCCUCACACUUAACAGAGGAAAAGCUGGAAUUGUCUGAUAAGGCAACGAAAAUCCAAUUUAAACGGAAGUUAGAGGGAAUGAAGAAGAAAUUAAAAAGAAAAAGUAAGAAGAAGAGGUCCUGAAUUGCCAAACAUGCUCGAGCCACCAAGGCAGUAUCUGUGUCAUCAACCUCUGGUCUUUCAGAGUUUGUUAAAACAGAAAUUCCUCAACCAAGACUAGCAAGUACACUGGCAACACCAAUUUUUAACAGUGAAGGCUGCCUAGUUUCCAGCAAAUUUGAUUUUGGAGAACUAUCUAAUUCCUCACCCAUUCUGAAAAAGACCACUUUAUAUCCAGAAGUGGCAACGAUUAAAAUGAAAGAAAAUAAAACUUAAACCAAAAAUGAAUAUCUUGGUAGGCCAAGCUGAAGCUGAGAAUGCAAGAAGCAUUGAAUAGAAACAGGCAUGAAAUGGUGCUCUGCAAAUAGCUGAAGGUUUUCAGGUAAAAGACUAUGUGGAAUUGCUUGCCAAAUCAAUUAAUGAACGAGAUCAAAUCAGAAAGUAACAUAAAUUGCGCUGAACGAAUCGAAGAAAAGGAAAAGAGAAAGGAAUAACAACAGAAAAAGAGAAAAGCCAACAUUAAGAAAAAUAAAACUGAAAAGAAAGAACAUAAAGUGAAUAAACUAAAGAAAAAAGGCAAAUUUACCGUAUGAAAGACUGAUACUGACUCAUGGAUGAGCUAAACUCUUGUUCUUUCAUGUGCAGCCAUGUCGUGAUAGUUUUAUAGAAAAAUACACUGGCAUGCCUUCCAUGAUCGUGGAAAAUUUGAAGAAAAAAUAUCUUAGAUUCAUUUAAAAAGGUUUAGUGUCUUCACUAAUAACAGACUCU
Daphnia carinata is the source of this 986-nucleotide long non-coding RNA. RefSeq lists it as uncharacterized. The record is from RefSeq and is a predicted model, not a curated record. The transcript is spliced from 3 exons. Lineage: Eukaryota; Metazoa; Arthropoda; Branchiopoda; Diplostraca; Daphniidae.